Molecule: ribosomal RNA, 253 nt
Filed under: uncultured bacterium
Lineage: Bacteria
Description: partial 16S ribosomal RNA
Rfam family: Bacterial small subunit ribosomal RNA
Source: RNAcentral
UACGAGGGGAGCAAGCGUUGUUCGGAUUUACUGGGCGUAAAGGGCGCGUAGGCGGCGUGACAAGUCACUUGUGAAAUCUCCGGGCUUAACUCGGAACGGUCAAGUGAUACUGUCGUGCUAGAGUACAGAAGGGGCAACUGGAAUUCUCGGUGUAGCGGUGAAAUGCGUAGAUAUCGGGAGGAACACCAGUGGCGAAGGCGGUUGCCUGGAGCUUUGCUGACGCUGAGGCGCGAAAGCGUGGGGAGCGAUCCGG